AUACGUAGGUGGCAAGCGUUGUCCGGAAUUAUUGGGCGUAAAGCGCGCGCAGGUGGUUCCUUAAGUCUGAUGUGAAAGCCCCCGGCUCAACCGGGGAGGGUCAUUGGAAACUGGGGAACUUGAGUGCAGAAGAGGAUAGUGGAAUUCCAAGUGUAGCGGUGAAAUGCGUAGAGAUUUGGAGGAACACCAGUGGCGAAGGCGACUGUCUGGUCUGUAACUGACACUGAGGCGCGAAAGCGUGGGGAGCAAACAGGAUUAGAUACCCUGGUAGUCCACGCCGUAAACGAUGAGUGCUAAGUGUUGGGGGGUUUCCGCCCCUCAGUGCUGCAGCUAACGCAUUAAGCACUCCGCCUGGGGAGUACGGUCGCAAGACUGAAACUCAAAUGAAUUGACGGGG
This 397-nucleotide ribosomal RNA is filed under the name uncultured bacterium. Its description in RNAcentral is "partial 16S ribosomal RNA". It matches the Rfam family "Bacterial small subunit ribosomal RNA", at positions 523 to 918 of the family's 1533-position model. The record is from RNAcentral.